This 692-nucleotide ribosomal RNA is filed under the name uncultured bacterium. RNAcentral describes it as "bacterial SSU rRNA". It matches the Rfam family "Bacterial small subunit ribosomal RNA", at positions 126 to 812 of the family's 1533-position model. The record is from RNAcentral.
CUGCCCGUGGCAGGGGGAUAAGCGGGGGAAACCCCGUCUAAUACCGCGUAACGCGGCCUUGGGGCAUCCCAAGGCCGCCAAAGGGAGCAAUCCCGGCCACGGAUGGGCAUGCGGCGCAUUAGCUAGUCGGCGGGGUAACGGCCCACCGAGGCGACGAUGCGUAGGGGUUCUGAGAGGAAGGCCCCCCACACUGGUACUGAGACACGGACCAGACUCCUACGGGAGGCAGCAGUGAGGAAUAUUGGUCAAUGGGCGCGAGCCUGAACCAGCCAAGUCGCGUGAGGGAGGACGGCCCUACGGGUUGUAAACCUCUUUUGCCGGGGAGCAACGGGCGUCACGUGUGGCGCCACUGAGAGUACCCGGAGAAAAAGCAUCGGCUAACUCCGUGCCAGCAGCCGCGGUAAUACGGAGGAUGCGAGCGUUAUCCGGAUUUAUUGGGUUUAAAGGGUGCGUAGGCGGAUCGUUAAGUCAGUGGUCAAAUUGAGGGGCUCAACCCCUUCCCGCCAUUGAAACUGGCGAUCUUGAGUGGAAGAGAAGUAUGCGGAAUGCGUGGUGUAGCGGUGAAAUGCAUAGAUAUCACGCAGAACCCCGAUUGCGAAGGCAGCAUGCCGGCUUCCGACUGACGCUGAAGCACGAAAGCGUGGGGAUCGAACAGGAUUAGAUACCCUGGUAGUCCACGCGGUAAACGAUGA